UCAUAAGAACAGUAAAAUCAAGGCAACUGAAAUUGGUCCUUGCUGGCUUUCUCACUGUGAAAACUGUGUGAAACGAGAGAGGUGUUGGGCCAGAAGAAAAACAAGCACCAGCAAAACAUCCUAGUGAACCACCUGAUUCCUGAAUCCUGUCCACAACUGGCUUCCUGUCUUAAGAGGAAUGCACAUUUUAGCGCUGUGGACUGGCUGCUUGCACAGAAGUAUGGGCAGAGUCUCCUAGGUCAGCGGACUGGAUUUCCAAGUGCGGAGUGAGUCUGCGGGCCAUUCAGCUGAGAAGUGCUCUUUCGCCGUGUCUAUUUGAUUAAGAGGCGUUUUAUCCCAAAGAUGUCUGGGGUCUGGAUAACUUUGGAAUCCAAACGUUCUGGAAGAGAAGUAAGCAGAAGACACGAGCAGAGCCCAGGAGGCAUUCUGAUGAGGAAAGGCUUGUCAUACGGGGAUGGCAAUCUCAGGACCAGGAUUUUCCUUGUGAACUCAAGACUCACCUGCCCAUAGGAGACACAAUCCAGUAUAGCGGAGGAUCCCGGCAGCCAUGGUCACACUGAGGCAGCAAGAGUCUGAGUGAUUUUAAUUCUGCCCGGGCACUUGCUGUCAUGUGAUCCCUUGCAGACUCCAUCAUGACGUUACUACUUCCUGUUCCUGCCAAAACACUUCAUGGCAUCAGAAGAAAAGCUUUUGCUCAGCUCAGGAAAGAUGACAGCUAUUUGA
This is a long non-coding RNA of Jaculus jaculus (lesser Egyptian jerboa), 723 nucleotides long. RefSeq lists it as uncharacterized. The transcript is spliced from 3 exons. NCBI's taxonomy places the organism in Eukaryota, Metazoa, Chordata, Mammalia, Rodentia, Dipodidae. The record is from RefSeq and is a predicted model, not a curated record.